GCCGGGGUAGCUCAGUUGGUAGAGCGAGGGACUGAAAAUCCCUGCGUCCCCUGUUCAAUUCAGGGCCUCGGCACCA
This 76-nucleotide transfer RNA is filed under the name Candidatus Omnitrophota bacterium. Its description in RNAcentral is "Candidatus Omnitrophica bacterium tRNA-Phe". It matches the Rfam family "tRNA". From Rfam's summary of the family: Transfer RNA (tRNA) molecules are approximately 80 nucleotides in length. Their secondary structure includes four short double-helical elements and three loops (D, anti-codon, and T loops). The record is from RNAcentral. Lineage: Bacteria; Pseudomonadati; Candidatus Omnitrophota.